GCUCCACCACAGUGCUCGGAUUCUUUAAGCAUUUGGUGCUGGCAGCAAUUGCAGUUUCCCUCGUCCCAUUACAGCUGUCUGGAAGUGGACAUGUGCUGCGAUCGUCACAGAGGUUGAUGUCCAAAACUGGAGUGUUUUGCUCAGGACUGAAGGUAGCUACAAAACUCGUGGCAUUUUCUACUCCAGCAGAAGUCAGAACUUUCCUUGCCCUGCCUCCAAACCUGCAGGAGCCCACCUACAGCCAGGGACAGCACUGGGACGGAUGUAGGGAGCUGGAGGCAGCCCUUGAGGAUGUCAGAAUGAAUAAGGAGAAGUGAUAACAAGCACUGGAUGAGACUUCUGGAAAGUUCUCUUCUCAGUGGAAUAAAUGGAGUUAUGGCCUACUCAAGUUAUAUCUGUGCCUUUUUCUUUGUGGUCAUUCAGGAAAAUUGAUCUUUCUGGAGUAGGAGAAAGCUUGUCUGUGGGGGAGAGGGCUCAUUUCAAGUGUAAGGAAUGAACUUGCCAGAAGUUAACACAAAUCUCACCUUGUACUGCCUCAAAUUCUGAGUGCAUUUCUUAGAUACAGGAUAAUAAUGAGGGAAUUCCACAAUGUGUAUGUAAAUGUCUUCCAAAAAAUCAACCACAAAUUUUGGAGACUGAACAUAUGACAAAUAUAAUUCACUUGGCUUAGCGCCCUAAUGGAAGGCUCAGAUCAAUGCGCUGCUGAAACCUUUGUAGAUUAUAACAGGUCCUAGUGAAGUCAGGGAAUAUAUUUCCAUACACUUCAGGGAGGCCAGAUUUUAACCCCAGAUACUCUGAGCCUUAAAAUCUGAGCAGACUCCAUAAAUUUCAGUGCAUGUUCAAGAUGUAAGAGUUUAGAUAAGCUCCACAUCAGCGCUGAAGAAAGCUGCCCUGGUAUCCUGGCUGCUUUCUGGGCAGUCUACUUUGACUUGGUCACUUUUAUUCUGUUAUAAAGCCUCUACUUCUCAAGAACUAUUAGGCAAUUUUGAUUUGAAUUUUAUGCCUGUGAAUGGUGAACAGGCAGCUCUGCAGGGCAGACCCCCUGACCCCCUCCAUUCAUCAAGGCAUCCCACUGAAGUGCAGAGCUGGGGCUGCUGCUCCUGCAGUAGCUCUGCAGGGGUUAUCAGCAUCCACAGAUGUAUUUGGAAGCAUUUGGAUGGCUUCAUUUUAUUGAGAAAUGCCUGUAAUGCAGCACUGUAUAUAGAUUAAUCUGCUCUUGUUUUCCUGGCAGAGAUGUAGAUGUGCCUCUCUACCUGCAGCCCUGGGCUGUGACAGCGCUGUGGUGCCUGCUGUGGGGUCCUGGGCCACACUGCUGGCUUGAGGCGCCGUGACCGCAGACAGCUCCACUGGCUGGAGAGGUUGGCCAUGCCAUCUUUAUCAUGUGGGCUCUCCUCAGCCUCGGGGAAGGCAUCUGCUCAGCUGAGCCCCAGCAAGGGCUGUGCUCUGCAGCCUCCCAGAGUGUUCAGACUUUAUAGUAUCUCUCCCAACAGCCUUUCAAAGCACUUGGAAGCUUGAUGCGAUUUCAAACACUACAGAUUGACUUACAGUAUGGGAUAUAGUAUUUUUACUUGCGCCUAAAAACGUUGUUGUGCGGCCAAAAAUUCAAUCGCCAAGAAAUCACACAUGGUUCACAACACAGCUCUUUGAUAACAUUAAAAGUAUAUGUAAUAUUUUGAAAUCACUGGCCAAUUAUUUCUAAUAGUUUCAUGAUAAUUUAUGCAGGGAACCUCUCUGUUGGAUGUGUUCCUGCUUUGGUCUAAAUGUAUUUCUGAACACUCUGUCAAACAUCCCCAUUUGGCACCUAUUUUGUUUCACUGAAUUUCUUUAGUAUGUCCAGAUCUCUUGCCAAUGUAUUUGCAGAACACAUUUUGACAGCUUUGUCACCAAAUUUGUUACUUCUUGUGUUUGGAAUGCGUACCAAAUUGCAGAUAUUAAUGUGUGUGUGUUCCCUUUUGGUAUAGAUUCAACUGGAUAAUACCUUUGUCUUCUGUGGUGAUGAAUAUAAUAAAGGGAG
Hirundo rustica (Barn swallow) is the source of this 2014-nucleotide long non-coding RNA. RefSeq lists it as uncharacterized. The record is from RefSeq and is a predicted model, not a curated record. The transcript has 3 exons. NCBI's taxonomy places the organism in Eukaryota, Metazoa, Chordata, Aves, Passeriformes, Hirundinidae.